AAACCCAAAGAGAUCCUAUACCCUAAUCAAGAGAAUAAUAAGCGGAGAAAUAUGAAAGUGAAACCCCUCUCUAUCAUCAUGUUCAAUUUGUUAGCACAGCUGCAGAGAAAAAAGAUGGAGUCACUUAAGUUGUAGAAGCUUCUCGCCUCCAUCGUCUUUAAGUGUGGAAAGGGAAAGCCGGAAAGGUGUGGCUUGAUCUAAAUGAAAGCAAUGAGAUCUCCAUAGCCAAUUCUCGUCGUAUCAACAGGCAUUCAAGUAGCUGCACAGGGGCAUUUGCAUCUAAUAGCAGAGUUCCUGUCUGUUGGAGGCAUGUUGGCCUAGUUGACAAAUUGUGAUGGCCACUACAAGCUUUUUAGUGCUAAGGACGAGAGCGAAGACUUCACUGAUUUCAUAAUUUUUAGUGUUGACGUGUAAUUUCACAAGAAGAAUUAUGGUUUGUAAUACAUUUUAAUCUUAAUGUACAUUGAUUAAUUCCCACAUUUAAGUUUUUGUAAUGUAAGUUUAAUUAGUGCUAUUGACUUUGGGUA
Daucus carota subsp. sativus is the source of this 527-nucleotide long non-coding RNA. RefSeq lists it as uncharacterized. The record is from RefSeq and is a predicted model, not a curated record. Lineage: Eukaryota; Viridiplantae; Streptophyta; Magnoliopsida; Apiales; Apiaceae. The transcript is spliced from 3 exons.